UGUCUUUGUACUGAAUAUUUCUGCACUUUUUUGUAAAAAAAAAUAUAAAUAUAUGUAUUUUAAAAAAAAGAAAACACCAAAUUAUCUAGGGGGGCUUAAGAAUAUUUUAGGUGGCCAAAAAAAAUAGGCCAAACGACAAAUAGGCCAAUUUUUUAAAAAAUAAAAUAGGCCAAACGACGCCAAUGCCUUCAGUGUUUCCCUCAUCAAGAUCAUCUUCGGCUGUAGCCGCUAGCUAGCCAGAUCAGGAGAGCCCUUCUUUUUUUUCCUCUCUGUUGAUUCACAGACGAAUCCUCGAUCCUAAGUUUCCAUCCAGCCGCAGUCCACUCCUUUUUCCCUCGUCGAGAUCGUCUACGGCUGUAGCAGCAGAGGCUAGCCGGAUCAGGAGAGUGCUUUUUUUCCUUUCCGUUGAUUCACAGACGUAUCCUCGAUCCUGUGUUUUUGUUUUUUAUACUCACCUUCAGUGUUUCCCCUCGUCGAGAUCGUCUUCGGCUGUAGCAGCAGAGGCCAGCCGGCUCAGGAGAGCGUUUUUGUUUUCCUCUCCUUGUGAACCCUCCAUCCUGUGUUUUUGGUUUUCUUCAUACUCACUCCUGUCGUCAGACCUUCCUCCGACGAAUCCUCGAACCUGUGUUUCUUUUUUGGUUUGGUUUUUAUACUCACCAUCAGUGUUUCCCUCGUCGUCCUCGCUCAGCUGCAGUCCGCAGUUGAUUCACAGACGAAUCCUCGAUCCUGUGUUUCCAUCCAUGCGCUACUCGCUCAGCUGCAGUCCACUCCUAUUUUCCCUCGUUGAGAUCGUCUUCGGCUGUAGCCGCAGAGGCUAGCCGGAUCAGGAGAGCGCUUUUUUUCCUCUUCGUUGAUUCACAGACGAAUUUCCUCUUUCUUCGCUCUGCGGAUCCAGUGCCCAUACUGUGAAAAGAGUCUGUGCAACAGAGGAAUACAGCAGAGGUUUUCAGUCAAAUGUUUUCACGACAGCGUAGCAGAGGUGAGUUUUUAGAUAACCAUUUUUACAAGCCGAAGGAGCUGCGGGCGAGUUGACCUUUUUGUCUCUUGAGCGCCUGCAGUCCCCACGUCCUCAACCCUCCGCCGCGCUUUUUGUGCAUCACAGGUGGGGUGUGUGUGGAUUCAAAGACUCAUUUCUGUGUCAUGUAUUUGUUAUGCUCUUAUGAUUAAACAAACAAAAGUCCAAUCGAUGCAAAUGGUUCAGUCAGGAAGGUGAGCUAACGAAUGAUUGAAUGCAACUCGGUGUAAGAGCAGAGCAAAUUCACGGCACAGAGACAGACCAAACGACUGCACAAUUCAGUGGUAGCAGAGUGUGAGGGGAUAAUUGAGCCAAAGAGCAAGAAGUGUCACCCUCCCCAUAUUUUUGACGAGACAUCCAUUUCACUCAGGCCUGCAAAGAAGAGAGAGAAAUGUGGCUGAGGGGAUACGGAGCUAUCACAGUGAUCCCCUUGAUUUAAAAGCCUGAGGGUAAGAAGGAAAAGAAAAAGAAAAAGCAUCUAUCUAUCUAUCUAUCUAUCUAGAUAGAUAGAUAGAUAGAUAGAUAUAGACUACUUACUGUACUCUAGUCUCUCCUCUAUGGCCCUUUUUGUCUGUGUUCAACACUUUUGAGAAAACUUUUCUGUUUACUUUCACCCCUGCUCACACCUCUAAUCUGUGCCUUAAAACUAUGGCUACAGGCCAACCACCCAAGCCUCUUCUAAGCCUACUACUUGGAAAAGCCAGGGGUUACUCCAGGGAUGGGCAUCUGAAAUCAGCAUGCCCAAGACGCACCCACCCAGUAAAACAGGAAAGAGAAUAAAGCUGUCUACUCUGUCAAAUGUCCCUGAGCUGGGGAAGGCACUGGCAAAGCAUCCCAACCGCUGUUUAUGAAGCCAUUCAUUCAGACUGUGUUAGUCUAAGUGCAGCCUUGCGAAUUUAAGUGCUCUCUGCUGCCAGCUACAUGAGAGCUGGUUAAGCAAAAUCAGCAUUAAAGUUUAUGAUUCUGCAUGGUCUCACUUUACCUCUUUUGUACCACCUUCUCUGUAGCUCCGAUACCCGUAUAUAUGUCCAUUGUAUGUGCUUCAAUAGUCCCCUGUUUUGAAUCUCGCACCUUUUGUUAUUUCUCGAACUCUGUCUUUGUUCUUUAUCCUCCAUGUCCUGCUGCCUGAGAGGCCAGCCACUGGCCAGCCAGCAAGAGCCUCUCUUUGCCACCGAAGAAGGGAAACCUAUAUACAGGUUGUGGUUUUCUGCUCACCUCUGCCUGCUCUGCCAAUCCUGCUGGCUCCCACCAGAGUGCAACUCUACACAUUCACCACACAUAGGUGCAGCUACAACUGCAUCUUACGCUGUUCCCGUCUCGACACUAAAGACUACGGGUUGAUGGUCCUCAUCAGCCUUUGAAUGAUUCCUCAGGCCCAAGGCUAAAGAAGAUUCCUGUGCUCAAUUAGCUACGAGUGCUUUAAAAAAAUGCUGCUGCCCCAUAAUUCUGUCCCAUAUUUAUUGUAUUCUUAAGCAUAUUCCCAAUUAUAGAUAUGUGUAUGAAUUAAAUUAAUCCUGAUCCAUGAUCAUGUUUUGAGGGUAACCAAUACUAUGCGAGCUAUGAAGUUGGGUAAGUUGCUUCAUAGUUUCUCGCUGCUGGCUGCCCUCCCUCCCCUGUAGAUGCUUUCAUGUAGCUCAUGAAAGCUGGGGAGGGUUUCCUAGUAUGGUUGUUCUGGGGGACUUUUAAUGUAUUUGUCACUGCUCCCCCUGCCUCGGCUUUAAUGUAGCACAUGAAAGCCGAAAGGUUGUCUGGUAUGGCUGUUUUGGGGGAUUUUAAUUUUCCUUAAUUUUAUUUAUUUGCUGCUGCUUUUUCUGCCUUGGCUUUUCAUAUAUGCACAUAAAAGGGAGGGGAGGGCAUUCCCUCUCAUAGCCGUGGCAUUCCAUGCAAGCACAUAAAAGAGCAGGGAACUCUCAGAACAGAGCCAUACCGCCAAUGUAAAAAUGUUUGCUCAUAAUAAUUAAUUUUGACUAAAGUAGUCCUGACUGAAAUGAAGCAUACUCGUAGUUCAGGUAGGACACAUAGGUUACAGUAAAGCUAAAGGUUACAGUCAGCUGAUCUUAAGCCAGCCUUCAGUCAGAUGACAGCUCAGCUGAUCGCCCUCCACACAUCCUAUUGGCAAAUGUCAAAAUGGCGCCCUAAUUAAACUGCUUCUCCUACCUACUCUGCCUGGCAUGGUCGUUUUGGGGUGGUUCUGUUCAUCACUGCUCUACCUCCCAUUGUUUAUGAUGCCUCAUGAAGGGCGGGAAGGUGCUCUUCCUGCCAAUGGCCUUUCACACAUGCUUGUGUGGAGAACGGGGGGCCCCAAACAGAACCUUGCGUGCGCUCCCUGCUAUGGCCUUUUCAUGAUGGCUCGUGAAGGGCAGGAAGAGGCUCUUCCUGCCUCUGGCUUCCAUGCAACAGAACUAUCCCGCCAAAUUUAACUUUGCAAAAUAAAGCUGAAUUUUGACAAAGUGAUCCUGACUGAAUUGUGGUACAUCAUAUCUGUGACAUCAAACUUGGAGGGAUUGCAGGUUAGAUGUUGUAGAGCAGAUCCAAUGAAUAAAAUGCCUACUCACAUUGGGUUUACUUUUACUUUUGACUAUAAAAUUACUUCUUUUUCUAGGCGGAGAUAAAAUUUUUGAUUUGUAAUUUGUCUGAUACCAUUCUAGCAUUAUAAAGGCCACCGCCAAUCUUUCACUUGAUUUAGAUUCAACAAGAUUGUUGGAGGCCCUAGGCCCUAGGCCAUACAGUUGAUGAGCUAUUACUGAUUUACUUUGGGUAUGUCAUUUCAGGUGGAAAUAACCCCUAAAUAGCACAGGGUGCAUGUGGUUAAGGGACUGCACGAUAGGAAAGCCAUCAAGAACAUCAUGGAUGCUGCAGAGAAGAGGUCAAGAUGGCUUUGGAUCAAACACGGCACUCCAUGGACACAAGCUGGGGCUUGAUUAACCCUGGCUGGGUCAUCUGGACGAGGGUGUCUGACUGUUGAAAGACCUGGAACACCCAAUGACCUUGGUUUACAUCACUGAUGAUGUGUCUAAGCUGCAUGUACAGGUGUAUGUAAAAACACGGUGUGUGAUUGGGAGCCAGUAGAGCUGCUGGAGGAUUGGUGUGAUGUGGUGACUGAAUGGGGUCCUUUUGAUAAUAUGGACUUCUGAAUUCUGUACCAGAGUUUUUUGCAGAAGUCCAAACAGGAGGGAGUUGCAGUAGUCGACUCGGGUGAUGCGUUCAGCACAAUGGAUGACUCGAUGCAGAGACCAGUACCAGGCAGUGAUGCUCGCAGAAAGCACAGACCCCACUGUGGCGGUGUAGAAAGUUUGCCAAUUUGUUCACAAUGCUUUUUUUAAAAUCCAGCGUGAGUUUUAUGUAUUUUGAGAUGUAUUUACUCCAUGAUCAGAUGUUGCUUUCAUGGAAAUACACCAUUUUACUCCACUUACCUUUAGAUAUACAUUGAUGUUUCCAGACCAUUGCUUAAUAUAUGUCAGCAAAAGAUAAUAAGGGCUUAGUUUCAGAGUCGAAAACAUUUGCAAGAGUCACAACUUAAGUGCAAAAGCAAAAAAAAAAACAUCAUAGUUGGAUUAUUCAUGUCAACUUUUUGGCUUUUGAGAGUCUGCAUACAAAAAUCCUAAUAAAUCUCAACUGCGUUCAAACUACCCCAAAAAUGGCUAGAAAGAAGCAACUGAGUAAAGAAACAAAAGUGCAAAAUUGUACAUUGAGGAAAGAAGGGUACACAGAAAAAGAAACUGCAAAACACCUAAAGGUGUUUAACAAAGGAGUCCACUACACUCUGAAGAGACUAGAGGAACCUGGAAGUUAUGAUGAUAGAAAAAGACCUGGAUGAAAGAGAGUUACUACAAAAGGGGAGGAUAAACAUAUCAUUGUCACCAGUAAGAGAGAUCAGCAAAGACAGCACCACAAAUAAGGGAGGAAAUCAACAUUACAAGGUCGCAACCCGUAUCUCUGACAACCGUGAAAUGACGUUUGAGAAAGGCUGGUCUGAAGGGUUGUGUAUCUGCAAAAAAACACUACUUUGUCCACAGAACAAGAAAUAUAGAGACAUGAGUACCACCAUGUGGUACACCCACAAUUCAGCAUGGAGGUGGUAGUUCCAUGGUAUGGGGAUGACUGACAGCUUGGUUACACUGUGUGGUUUCCUGCAGAGUCGGGGCUUUGAAAGGGGGAGUGACAGAGCACUGUUACCAUGGAGAUGGAGGACUGUUUCCUGUCUGCUGCUGCUCGUAAAAAGGUGUUAAUGUGACCACACUCUGCUCUCAUCCAACUAAUGAACAGACCUAAAAUAAAUACAGGUACACUGGAACCUUUUAUUACUGUGAAAACAAACACAGAAUUCAUAAUGUCAGACAUUGAUUCAGUUUUCUUUGCUUCAUCUCUCUGCCAGAGUUACUUGAUGAUGACCUGAGUGAAAUAGUUAAAGAUGAAACUCAGUCACACUGAAGGUUUUGUGAACUUUCUCUCCAUCUCAUUUUUGUGUUGAAGAUUUUUGUCUCACUAAUAAAAUUAAUGAUAAAAUGUUAUAUCACACACACACACACACACACACACACACACACACACACACACACACACACACACACACACACACACACACACACACACACACACACACAAACACUAUCAACCCUAAAACCUCCAAAUAUUUUAUUUCACUCAAUUUAUUUAAAUUAAAAAAGCAUUUGGGACACACAUUUAUUUUUACAAAUGAAGUAUAAUAUUUUCUACAGGUCUAAAUAUUUUGGUCCAGUCAGAUCAUUUUCUUUCAGUCAUUUAAUUUUAAGUCUUGAAAUAUUCUUUUAACGUUUUAAUAUAAAAUUAUUUCUAUUGAUUCAAUCAUUCUGAAGUUGUAGAUUUUUGGCUGUGUCAUUGCUGCCAAGCAGAGGCAUGUUUGGAUGUAAACUUUCAAACUGAGUCUAGAUGUGAGCCUUCAGUGUUUUUAUUACCUGAAGGACAAUCAGAGGUGUCCGUCUGAAGUAGACCGGUAAAAACACCUGACAGCAGGCAUAGAGUAAGAAAGUGUGAACAGUCUGUAUAGUGACUAGGAACGAAAACAAAGUCACUGAGAGGCUAAGUGAGGGAGCUUCCGCAUUGGUGACUCGCUACACAAACCACAAGCCAUUUCCGUGUUUUCCGAUUGAGUUCACAUUUAUUUCCAACGCCGCACAAACAGACAGACAGGGCAAGGCAAGGCAAGAUGAUCUAUGGGCUUAGUUUGACGUUUAAAUCAAGCGGUCAACAAAAAAUACGCUCUCCCUACUCACCCCCUCUCCAUGCAGCCGCCGCAGCACCCAGGUGACUAUAUGUCCAUUCAUUCAAUCAUUCAAUCAUCGCGCCUUGACCACACCCCCUCGUGACGUGCAUGAAAGGUGCAGCCCAGACAGUUGAUGUCAACACACACAAACCUAACCACUUCUGCAUAUGGCACCUACAACCCAGCCCCUAAUUAUUACCAUUAUAAUAAUUACACUAUGACAAAUAAACGAACCACGAAAUCCACCAAUGUUCUUGUAAUAGUCCAUCAAUACAGUUCAUCAAUGUGCUCUUCUUCCUGGAACACAAGUCAAGUCUAGCCAAG
This 6581-nucleotide long non-coding RNA is filed under the name Xyrichtys novacula (pearly razorfish). Lineage: Eukaryota; Metazoa; Chordata; Actinopteri; Labriformes; Labridae. The record is from RNAcentral.